UUAGAGUUUGAUCCUGGCUCAGGACGAACGCUGGCGGCGUGCUUAACACAUGCAAGUCGAACGAAGCUUGAUUACGGAUUCUUCGGAUGAAGUAUGAUAUGACUGAGUGGCGGACGGGUGAGUAACGCGUGAGUAACCUGCCCUUCAGAGGGGGAUAGCGUUUGGAAACGAACGGUAAUACCGCAUAAUGUAUUUUGACCGCAUGAUCGAAAUACCAAAGAUUUAUCGCUGAAGGAUGGACUCGCGUCUGAUUAGGUAGUUGGUGGGGUAACGGCCUACCAAGCCGACGAUCAGUAGCCGGACUGAGAGGUUGAUCGGCCACAUUGGGACUGAGACACGGCCCAGACUCCUACGGGAGGCAGCAGUGGGGAAUAUUGCACAAUGGGCGCAAGCCUGAUGCAGCAACGCCGCGUGAAGGAAGACGGUUUUCGGAUUGUAAACUUCUGUUCUUAGUGAAGAAUAAUGACGGUAGCUAAGGAGCAAGCCACGGCUAACUACGUGCCAGCAGCCGCGGUAAUACGUAGGUGGCAAGCGUUGUCCGGAAUUACUGGGUGUAAAGGGAGCGCAGGCGGGUGACCAAGUCAGCUGUGAAAACUACGGGCUUAACCCGUAGACUGCAGUUGAAACUGUUCAUCUUGAGUGAAGUAGAGGUUGGCGGAAUUCCGAGUGUAGCGGUGAAAUGCGUAGAUAUUCGGAGGAACACCGGUGGCGAAGGCGGCCAACUGGGCUUUAACUGACGCUGAGGCUCGAAAGUGUGGGGGAGCAAACAGGAUUAGAUACCCUGGUAGUCCACACUGUAAACGAUGAUUGCUAGGUGUGGGGGGUCUGACCCCUUCCGUGCCGGAGCUAACGCAAUAAGCAAUCCACCUGGGGAGUACGACCGCAAGGUUGAAACUCAAAGGAAUUGACGG
Molecule: ribosomal RNA, 911 nt
Filed under: uncultured bacterium
Lineage: Bacteria
Description: bacterial SSU rRNA
Rfam family: Bacterial small subunit ribosomal RNA
Source: RNAcentral